GACGAACGCUGGCGGCGUGCUUAACACAUGCAAGUCGAACGGAAAGGCCCUGCUUUUGUGGGGUGCUCGAGUGGCGAACGGGUGAGUAACACGUGAGUAACCUGCCCUUGACUUUGGGAUAACUUCAGGAAACUGGGGCUAAUACCGGAUAGGAGCUCCUGCUGCAUGGUGGGGGUUGGAAAGUUUCGGCGGUUGGGGAUGGACGUGCGGCUUAUCAGCUUGUUGGUGGGGUAGUGGCUUACCAAGGCUUUGACGGGUAGCCGGCCUGAGAGGGUGACCGGCCACAUUGGGACUGAGACACGGCCCAGACUCCGACGGGAGGCAGCAGUGGGGAAUAGUGCACAAUGGGCGGAAGCCGUAUGCAGCAACGCCGCGUGCGGGAUGACGGCCUUCGGGUUGUAAACCGCUUUCGCCUGUGACGAAGCGUGAGUGACGGUAAUGGGUAAAGAAGCACCGGCUAACUACGUG
This 468-nucleotide ribosomal RNA is filed under the name uncultured bacterium. RNAcentral's name for it is "partial 16S ribosomal RNA". It matches the Rfam family "Bacterial small subunit ribosomal RNA", at positions 28 to 507 of the family's 1533-position model. The record is from RNAcentral.